This is a long non-coding RNA of Homo sapiens (human), 845 nucleotides long. Ensembl annotates it as long intergenic non-protein coding RNA 2543. The record is from Ensembl. Lineage: Eukaryota; Metazoa; Chordata; Mammalia; Primates; Hominidae.
CCUAUCCUAUCUGCAGCCUCUAGUCCAAGGCUCCCAAGGGCCCCACGAUAUCUGAUGCAUCUUAGCACAGAGCAAGCUAAUGCCGACUCAUGCCACAUCCCCGUUACACACAAGAGGUCAGAGAGGAAGCAGGGCAGAGCAGUUUUCCUCUGAGCCAGACCUCAGAGGUGGCCGUGGUAUUUUUGUUUUCCCUUCCACCAAACAAAAGGAUCUGUGUAAAGCAAGGCAUCAUCUUACUGCAAGGGGAGACAUCGCUGGGGUCUGGUUAGAAGAUCUGGCUCUAUUUUCUCCAAUGAAGGUCUUUAUAGGAAAUCUGCAUUAGUGCCUUGUCCAUGUUCAUAGACCCUCUGCUUCAUGGCAGAAGGGCGCUGACUUGAAGGCCCCUAAGCAGCGAAGGAAGGGGAGCCUCUGUCCCCUCCCUAGCUGGCUUCCCUGGCACAUGCUGGUUUCCCUCCAAUUCUGUGGUGCACAUCAUGACCAGCAGAGGAAAGAAUUCAGCUGGACCACCUCAAGCUCUGUGUGACGGAGUUGAAAGCUUUGCUGAUGUAUAUGUUGGUGGUCAAGGAAGGCUUUCUGAACACUUACCUGGUGCCCACAGAGGCUCUGAGAGCUGGAAGCUGGAAAGAGUCAGUCUGGGGUCCUAAAAGGUAUCUUCUCUUCAGUGCCAACAUCAGGGGCAUAUUGGUGAUAGAAACAGGGUCUCUGCAUGGCUACAGGCACCAUUAAUUGGUUCAGUUUUCUUCCAUUUCUCCUGAGCUCACCCUGACCCUAUGCACUGCUGACCAGGAAUUCUAACCCGCAGCAUCGUGGGUGGGCCCACCUUGCAGCCUCAUCACGGUUGAGUU